AUUGAACGCUUGCGGCAGGCCUAACACAUGCAAGUCGGGCGAGUGGCAGACGGGUGAGUAAUGCAUUGCGAUCUGCCUGAUGGAGGGGGAUAACUACUGGAAACGGUAGCUAAUACCGCAUACCUUCAGAUGUACCCAUAUGGGAAUAGCUAGUAGGUGAGGUAACGGCUCACCUAGGCGACGAUCCCUAGCUGGUCUGAGAGGAUGAUCAGCCACACUGGGACUGAGACACGGCCCAGACUCCUACGGGAGGCAGCAGUGGGGAAUAUUGCACAAUGGGCGCAAGCCUGAUGCAGCCAUGCGGCGUGUAUGAAGAAGGCCUUCGGGUUGUAAAGUACUUUCAGUCGGGAGGCGUUACCGACAGAAGAAGCACCGGCUAACUCCGUGCCAGCAGCCGCGGUAAUUC
Molecule: ribosomal RNA, 406 nt
Filed under: uncultured bacterium
Lineage: Bacteria
Description: partial 16S ribosomal RNA
Rfam family: Bacterial small subunit ribosomal RNA
Source: RNAcentral